This 75-nucleotide transfer RNA is filed under the name Patescibacteria group bacterium. RNAcentral's name for it is "tRNA-Gly". It matches the Rfam family "tRNA". Rfam says of the family: Transfer RNA (tRNA) molecules are approximately 80 nucleotides in length. Their secondary structure includes four short double-helical elements and three loops (D, anti-codon, and T loops). The record is from RNAcentral.
GCGGGUAUAGUACAAUGGCUAGUAUAUUGGCUUUCCAAGCCAAGGAUACGGGUUCGACUCCCGUUACCCGCUCCA